AGAGUUCUGGAUAAGCCAAACCUACAAACGAUUGACUUCCAGACGAAGUCCUGCACUUUAGCUUCUGUGAUUUUUGCCAAAGGUUCGGCUUCGACCCACUUGGUGAAGUAGCCAAUUGCCACCAGGAGGAACUUCCGCUGCCCGAACGUCAUGGGAAAAGGUCCAAGGAUAUCCAUCCCCCAUUGUGCAAACGGCCAUGGGGCACUCAAGGGUGUAAGUUUGGAGGCGGGCUAUCUUUGGAUAUUCGCAUAUCUCUGACA
RNAcentral lists this long non-coding RNA (260 nucleotides) under Elaeis guineensis (African oil palm). Its description in RNAcentral is "long non-coding RNA (EGUI_LNC075762)". Lineage: Eukaryota; Viridiplantae; Streptophyta; Magnoliopsida; Arecales; Arecaceae. The record is from RNAcentral.